This 5452-nucleotide long non-coding RNA is filed under the name Marmota monax (woodchuck). The stretch from base 4399 to 4471 matches the Rfam family "tRNA". The record is from RNAcentral. Lineage: Eukaryota; Metazoa; Chordata; Mammalia; Rodentia; Sciuridae.
UUAGUUGUAGUUGGACACAAUACCUUUAUUUCACUUAUUUAUUUUUAUGUGGUGCUGAGGAUCGAACCCAGGGUCUCGCAUGUGCCAGGCAAGCGCUCUACUGCUGAGCCACAAUCCCAGCAUUGGAAACUUUUUUAAUGAAUAAGUAAAAAAUGUUUAUAUUUAUGUUGUCCAACAUGAUGUGCUGAUGUAUAUGUACAUCAUGGAAUAGUUAAAUCAAGCAUUUUAACCUUUGUAUCACUUCACAUACUUUUUGUGUGUGGUAAAAAUACUUAAAAUCUACUCUCUUAGCAGUUUUCUUCCUGACCCAGUAGAGGAUUGAACUUAAGGACACUGGACCACUGAGCUAUAUCCCUAGCCCUUUUCAUUUUUUAUUGAGAAAUGGUCUCACUAAGUUGCCUAGUCUGGCCUGGAGCUUGUGAUCAUCCUGCCUCAGCCUCCACAGUAGCUGGGAUUAUAGGUAAGCAUCCAGCAGCAAGUUUCCAAUAUACAGCAUAUUGUUAUUAACUCUAGUCACCAUGGAGUAUCAAUGGUCUCCUGAACUAUUCCUCUUAACUGAAAGUUUGUUUUGUUUGACAAACAUCUGUAUACCCACUGCCUUCCUUCCUGCAGCCUUUGAUAACCAUUGUUUUACUCUGUUCCUGUGAGUUCAACAUUUAUUGCACUGUACAUAUAAUGAGAUGUUGCAGUAUUUGACUCUGUGCUUGGCUUAUUUCCCCAAGCAUAAUGUUCUCCAGGUUCAUUCAUGUUGUCACAAAUGAUGAUUUCCUUCCUUUUUAAGGCCAAAUAGUAUUCUUUUAUAUAUAUUUUUUCUCCAUAUUUUCUUUAUCCAUUCCUUAGUGGACACUUCGGUGUUUCCAAAUCUUGGCUACUGUGAAUAUUGUAGAGCCGAGAUUGCAGAUAUCUCUUCAACACUCUGUUUUUAUAUUCUUUGAGUAUAUGUUAAGUGGUAAUAUUGCUUGCUGGAUCAUGUAGUAGUUCUACUUUUUGUUUUUUUGAAGAACUUUUUUUCAUAAUGGCUGUACUUAUUUACAUUUCUACACAAGGAUUGCCUUUUCUUCACAUUCUUACCAACACUUAUUUUGGGUCUUUUUAAAGUAAUAACCAUUCUAGCAGGUGUGAGGUGAUGUCUCGAGUUUUCAUUGGCUUUCCCCUCAUGAUUUAGUGAAACUGAGUGUUUUUCAUCCUUGUUGACAUUGCAUAUCUCUUUUAAGAACUGUCAGUUCAGGGGCUGGGUGUGUAGCUCUGUGACAGAGUGCUCACCUGGCACAUGUGAGGCACUGGGUUCGAUCCUCAGCACCACAUAAAAAUAAAUAAAUAAAGAUAUUGUGUUCAUCUACAACUAAAAAACUUUUUUUAAAAAAGGACUAUCAAUUCAAGUCACCUGCCCAUUUUUUAAUUGGGUUAUCUGUUUUGUUUUUUUUUUGUAUUAAAUUGUUUGAAUUCCUUACAUAUUUUGGAUAGUAACCCCUAUUCAAUAUAUGGUUUGAAAAUAUAUUCUCCUGUUCUGUAGAUUAUCUCCUCACUCUCCUCAUUUGUUAAUUUUUGCUCUUAUUACCUGUGCUCUUGAGGUUAUAUCCCCAAAAAACCUUUGCAUGGACUAAUGUUUUAGGACUUGGGCUUUCCCUGUUUUCUUUCUAGUAUUUUUACAGUUUCUGAUCUUUUUAUAGUUGUUGUUCUGAGAAUUGAACCCAGGGUGCUUUACCACUGAGCUGUAUACCCAGCACUUUUUAGUUUUUGAGACAGGACUUUCUAAGUUGCUGAGAGUCUCCCUAAGUUGCUGAGGCUGGCCUUGAACUUGUGAUCAUCCUGCCUUAGCCUCCCAAGGAGCUAGGAUUAUAGCUAUGUGCCACUGUGCCUGACUCAUCCAUUUUGAGUUGAUUUUUGAAUAGUAUGAGAUGAGGACCCAAUUUCAUUUUUCUGCAUGUGGAUGUCCAGUUUUCCUCGCACCAUUUAUUGAAGAGACUAUCUCUUCCCCAUUGUAUGUUCUUGGCAUCUUUGGAGAAGAUAGGUUGAUUAUAAAUGCAUGGAUUUAUUUCUGGGCUAUUUUAUUUCAUUGGUCUAUGUGUCUGUUUUUAUGCAGAUACACUAACCCUCCUAGGAUUCACUCUGUACUACAAGCAGAAUUCCUGUUUUGUUCAAAGUACAAUUUUAAUGAAAGCAAUUAACCCACACACACCCCGCAAUCCCUAGCUUAAAACAUUUUAAUGACUUUUCAUUGCUUUUAUAAUGAAAAAAUAUUUUGUAUGAGCUAUUGGGUCACAUAUAUUAAGACCACUCUUUGUACUGUGGUUCUGAGUAUUAAAUAAGUUAAUGUUUGAAAAGAUAGAAUUGGUGGACACAUCACCUAAAAACACUAUUAUUAUUAUCAUUUAGCCUCAUUUUGUACCAUGUUUUACUUUGUUCUACCUCCAUUGUCCUGGAGUGAGAAUUAAAGUGCUUCAUUCAUCACAAACUUUUUUUUUUUCAGUACUGGGAAUUGAAUUGAUCAUGGGAUUUUUGUUAAUGCUGUUCCUUUGGCUUAAAGUACAGAUCCUCCCCAUUGCCUAUUUAAUUCUAUUUGUCUGGUUUCUAACACGGAGUAAGAACAACUGUUACAUAUUCUCACAUGACCAUGCACCUCUAGCAUUUAAUGCCUUUGUAAUUUUGUAUGUAUUUGUUUGAUUAGUGUCAGACCUAGUUUGUAAACUCCAUGAAAGCAAGAAUUUUGUUUUUGUCAUUGUUAAACUUUGUUCCUGGCACAUAGUAGCUGUUCAGUGAACUUACUGAAAGAAUAAAAUGGUUGGGUACAGUGGUGCAAGCAUGUAAUCUCAGAGGCUUGGAAGCUGAGACAGAAGGAUCAUAAGUUUAAAGCCAGCCUCAGCAAUUUAGUGAGACCCUGUCUCAAAGGAUGUAGGGUAAUGAUGUGGCUUAGUAUUUAAGUACCCCCUCGGUUCAAUCUCUUGUAACACAACAACAACAAAAAAAAAAAGAAAAUGAGUGGAUGAGAUAAAAAGGAUAUUUUCCAGGUAUUGAAUAUUUCCUUUCAUUUUGUUUGAAGAAAGAUAGAACAUAGGCAGAAAGGUAGUUGCUCUAGUUAUUAAAAGGGAAAAUACUUUGUGUCUAAGAGGGAAAAAAAAAGAGGGAAAUAGAAUGGGACUAUUUGCCAUACUGUGUUCAGGGUAGGGAAUAUCUGAACCUCUAGUUGAUUUGUCAUAAAUAGAAAAUAAGCUCAUCACUUUGUGGUACUGCUACAGUGCCAGAAUGUCAUCUGGCUUUUAUUGUAAUAUAUGGUGUUGUGGCUGUUGAGAUCUGCCAGUCCCAUUUGCUAAAUGGAAUGGAAACAAAGCCAAAAGAGUAGUGUUUGAAAUAGCUUCUCUUUGGGAAACAAAUUGAUACUGAGAUUUAAUUUCAAUUAUACCUAAUUCCUUCAAAUGCAAAGAAUUUGAUUUUAGCUUGCACAUUGAGUGAUAUGGAAAAUAAAUUUUGAACUAUGUUCUAAUUUUCCUUUUCAAAUACAUUAAUUACCAAAAGUUAGGCUUAUUUAGAAUAUAGAAACAUUAAAGCAGUGAUGUUUUUUAUUUAAUAUGUAUUUAUUUUUUAUUUUGUUUUUUAGUUGUAGUUUGGACACCAUACAUUUAUUUUAUUUUAUUUUUAUGUGGUGCAAAAGAUCGAACCCAAUGCCUCGCACGUGCUAGGCAAGCACUCUACCACUGAGCUACGGCCCCAGCCCAAAGCAGUAAUGUUUUUAAAAGACUAUUUCAUGAAAUUAUAAUACUUGAUCCAUUUUUGUUUUGGUUCUUGGGAUGGUCUUUUUUGAAAGGCACAAAAAUGAACGUGAAAAUGUAAGCAUGAUGGUUUCUUACAAAUCAUUAGAUAUAAUCCAUCUUAAAGUGAAGGGAAAUUCAUGUUAAUGUUGAAAUAUUGAAACUGAACAUAUAUGUUGUAGACACUAUUGUGUUGCCUUAGCAGAUUUUGAGAAUUUAAAUCUUUUUAGAGAAAUUGAGAAAUAUGAAAUCAAAUUCAUGUCUUUUUUCUGCUUAGUAUGUAAUAUAAAACAUGCAAUACAUUUUUGGUUUUAGGAAGAGUAAUCACCAGGAAUAAUAAUCUGUGUUUUAAAAAUUCUGAAACUAUAUAAACAAAGAGGCAAUACUGUAUAAGUUUUUAUUUUCAAUGUUCUUUGUGUUAUCAAUCAAAAGUCAAUUUGUUAUUUACAAUUUAUACUAAACUCUGGCAAGUGAGAUUUCUUGUAUUUCUUAUAUUCAUUGACUAUGUUUAGAAAAGUUAAGCAUUACAGAAGCUAGGAGAAUAGAGUGGUGAUUAAAUCUGACAUAAUUCAGCAAAGCAUUUUUAUUGUUAUGACAAAAAACUUAAAUGCUGAAUCACACAUCAUCAAGAAUAAAUAAGAUUUUAUGGGCUAGGGAUAUAGCUCAGUUGGUAGAGUGCUUGCCUUGCAUGUACAAGGCCCUGGGUUCAAUUCCCAGCAUCAUAAAAAUAAAAAAUAAAAAUAAAUAAAUAAGAUUUUAAAAAAAUGAACACAAAGAGAAAGAUCAGACGUAUACUUGAAAGAUAUGGAUGAAAUAAAUUCAUUGGAGUAUGAUGAGAAGUUCAUACUUUUCAAUAUUUAAAAUAACUCCAACUAUAAUAGAUACAUAGUAUAGUCAGAGAAGGAACAUUUAAAAGUAAUCAUGGGCUGGGCACAAUGGAGUAGGCUUGCAAUCCCAGCAACUCAGAAGACUGAGGCAAGAAGAUCACAAAUUCAAGGCCAUCCUGGUCAAUUUAGUGAGAUCCUGUCUGGGGGAUGUAGCUCAAUGACAAAGUGCCCCUGGGUUUAAUCCCCAGUACUAAGGGGGAAAAAAGUAACCAUAGUGAACAAGUAUAAGGAAAUAUGUUGAACAAAAUUUUAAUAAUUAAGCACAUGAGAAAGAUCUGCGAUAAUUCAUUUGGCAGAUAUCAUUUAAAUUAAAACCUAAAGGAUAAUAAAAGCACAUAUAGAAGUUCUUAAGUUUAUUAUGAAAAAGGUCAGAUGUAAUUCUUUAAAAAUGGUCUUCCCACAGUGUUAAUUUAUUGGAAUCUGUUAUGAUUCCAAUAAAAAAGUGAGCAGGAUCACUUGCUGCUAUUGGAGUCAUUUUAUCAUGACUGUAAUAUUGGGGCAAUUUAAUGUGUUGUUUGAAUUCAAUAUAUAUGCUUUAUAAUUCUUAUUGACAUAAUUAAAAUAGGAAUUUUAAACAUAUUUCUUGCUUUAUUCACUCUGUUUCUUGCAAUAAUAAGAGAUUUCAAUAUAAAGCAUUGGAAUUAUGAAGGCAAAAGUAUUCCAAAGAGAACUGAAUUAUACUAUUAUAAACAUUGAUGUGGCUAUAUCAUUAUAGUAUGCUGUUUUUACUUUUUUGGAUAAAUCCUGAGGAAUGGGAUAGCUGGAUCAUAUGGCCAUUCUAUUCAUAGUUUUUUGAGGAAUCUCUGUACUGCUUUCCAG